AAUUUGUGUUGCUACAAAUCAUUUAGAUCAAUUCAAAAUUAAAGAAGAUUUUUCCACAAACAUUUGAAUUCAUAUGUAAUAUUCCAUGUUACAUUUGAACGCUUAAGCACAUUUUGUGCACCUAAAAUGCUUAAUCAGAAUGUUAAAAAAUUAUAUGAAUAUUGGAUAUUCAAUAUCACAUUUUACAUACAAGAGGUACAGCCAAAAAGGUACAGCCAUUUGAUCUCAAAAAACUAGUCUCGUUUGUCUCUUUAGUCGUAAAAGACUGUGCUAGUGUGACCGUAGCCUUAGAUUUGAACUAAUCACAACAUGUGCUGUUUUGAUUUUCUUCUGUUUCUUACAAUUGAUUGUGACCACUAAUUUAUAUCAUCGAUACUAGAUGUCGCGGUGCACAUUUAAAUGAAUUAUUUCAAUUUCA
Molecule: non-coding RNA, 418 nt
Organism: Dermatophagoides farinae (American house dust mite)
Lineage: Eukaryota; Metazoa; Arthropoda; Arachnida; Sarcoptiformes; Pyroglyphidae
Source: RefSeq, a predicted model, not a curated record